GGAUGUGAGAGUAAUCUGGCUAUGACAUCUGUAACCCCAUUGAUUGCCAGGGUUGACUUGGCUGAUCUGGCUGGCUAGGUGGGUGUCCCCUUCUUUCCUCCAUGUGUGUCCCUCCCAAAGCUGUGCGCUCAGUCAAAGAAGACAGCCUUCCCUGAACAGACAUGAACCGGUCUUUAGUCAAGGGUGUAUGAGUAGUUGUACUCCCAUGCUAGAACCUCCAAAUAAGUUCCUGGCAUGUAAUAACCUCUCAAUAAAUGUCCAUUGCCAUAUGUGUAACAGUAACCAAAUAU
This 290-nucleotide small nuclear RNA is filed under the name Erinaceus europaeus (western European hedgehog). Its description in RNAcentral is "7SK RNA". It matches the Rfam family "7SK RNA". Rfam says of the family: 7SK was discovered as an abundant small nuclear RNA in the mid-70s but a possible function has only recently been suggested. Two independent studies have found that 7SK RNA binds the CDK9/cyclin T complex (known as elongation factor P-TEFb). P-TEFb activates transcription by phosphorylating the C-terminal domain of RNA polymerase II. The record is from Rfam by way of RNAcentral. Lineage: Eukaryota; Metazoa; Chordata; Mammalia; Eulipotyphla; Erinaceidae.